RNAcentral lists this ribosomal RNA (421 nucleotides) under uncultured bacterium. RNAcentral's name for it is "bacterial SSU rRNA". It matches the Rfam family "Bacterial small subunit ribosomal RNA", at positions 355 to 774 of the family's 1533-position model. The record is from RNAcentral.
UAAGGAAUAUUGGUCAAUGGACGUAAGUCUGAACCAGCCAUGCCGCGUGAAGGAUGAAGGUCCUCUGGAUUGUAAACUUCUUUUAUCUGGGACGAAAACGGGAUUUUUAUCUCAAUUGACGGUACCAGAGGAAUAAGCACCGGCUAACUCCGUGCCAGCAGCCGCGGUAAUACGGAGGGUGCGAGCGUUAUCCGGAUUUACUGGGUUUAAAGGGUGCGUAGGUGGGCUUAUAAGUCAGUGGUGAAAUCUCCGAGCUUAACUUGGAAACUGCCGUUGAUACUAUAGGUCUUGAAUUAUCUGGAGGUAAGCGGAAUAUGUCAUGUAGCGGUGAAAUGCUUAGAUAUGACAUAGAACACCAAUUGCGAAGGCAGCUUACUACAUAUAAAUUGACGCUGAGGCACGAAAGCGUGGGGAUCAAACA